GCUGGCGGCGUGCCUAAUACAUGCAAGUCGAGCGGACAGAUGGGAGCUUGCUCCCUGAUGUUAGCGGCGGACGGGUGAGUAACACGUGGGUAACCUGCCUGUAAGACUGGGAUAACUCCGGGAAACCGGGGCUAAUACCGGAUGCUUGUUUGAACCGCAUGGUUCAAACAUAAAAGGUGGCUUCGGCUACCACUUACAGAUGGACCCGCGGCGCAUUAGCUAGUUGGUGAGGUAAUGGCUCACCAAGGCAACGAUGCGUAGCCGACCUGAGAGGGUGAUCGGCCACACUGGGACUGAGACACGGCCCAGACUCCUACGGGAGGCAGCAGUAGGGAAUCUUCCGCAAUGGACGAAAGUCUGACGGAGCAACGCCGCGUGAGUGAUGAAGGUUUUCGGAUCGUAAAGCUCUGUUGUUAGGGAAGAACAAGUGCCGUUCGAAUAGGGCGGCACCUUGACGGUACCUAACCAGAAAGCCACGGCUAACUACGUGCCAGCAGCCGCGGUAAUACGUAGGUGGCAAGCGUUGUCCGGAAUUAUUGGGCGUAAAGGGCUCGCAGGCGGUUUCUUAAGUCUGAUGUGAAAGCCCCCGGCUCAACCGGGGAGGGUCAUUGGAAACUGGGGAACUUGAGUGCAGAAGAGGAGAGUGGAAUUCCACGUGUAGCGGUGAAAUGCGUAGAGAUGUGGAGGAACACCAGUGGCGAAGGCGACUCUCUGGUCUGUAACUGACGCUGAGGAGCGAAAGCGUGGGGAGCGAACAGGAUUAGAUACCCUGGUAGUCCACGCCGUAAACGAUGAGUGCUAAGUGUUAGGGGGUUUCCGCCCCUUAGUGCUGCAGCUAACGCAUUAAGCACUCCGCCUGGGGAGUACGGUCGCAAGACUGAAACUCAAAGGAAUUGACGGGGGCCCGCACAAGCGGUGGAGCAUGUGGUUUAAUUCGAAGCAACGCGAAGAACCUUACCAGGUCUUGACAUCCUCUGACAAUCCUAGAGAUAGGACGUCCCCUUCGGGGGCAGAGUGACAGGUGGUGCAUGGUUGUCGUCAGCUCGUGUCGUGAGAUGUUGGGUUAAGUCCCGCAACGAGCGCAACCCUUGAUCUUAGUUGCCAGCAUUCAGUUGGGCACUCUAAGGUGACUGCCGGUGACAAACCGGAGGAAGGUGGGGAUGACGUCAAAUCAUCAUGCCCCUUAUGACCUGGGCUACACACGUGCUACAAUGGACAGAACAAAGGGCAGCGAAACCGCGAGGUUAA
Molecule: ribosomal RNA, 1248 nt
Filed under: Bacillus vallismortis
Lineage: Bacteria; Bacillati; Bacillota; Bacilli; Caryophanales; Bacillaceae
Description: bacterial SSU rRNA
Rfam family: Bacterial small subunit ribosomal RNA
Source: RNAcentral